UACGUAGGGGGCAAGCGUUGUCCGGAAUCAUUGGGCGUAAAGCGCGUGUAGGCGGCCUUGUAAGUCCGUUCUGAAAGCCCGGGGCUCAGCCCCGGGAGGCGGAUGGAUACUGCAAGGCUCGAGUACGGAAGAGGCGAGUGGAAUUCCCGGUGUAGCGGUGAAAUGCGCAGAUAUCGGGAGGAACACCAAUGGCGAAGGCAGCUCGCUGGGACGUUACUGACGCUGAGACGCGAAAGCGUGGGGAGCAAACAGG
RNAcentral lists this ribosomal RNA (253 nucleotides) under uncultured bacterium. RNAcentral describes it as "partial 16S ribosomal RNA". It matches the Rfam family "Bacterial small subunit ribosomal RNA", at positions 524 to 776 of the family's 1533-position model. The record is from RNAcentral.